UGUGACCUUGAUAUUGUCCUUAACACAGAAAACGAGCAAGAACUCACCGUUCGCGGCUGCUUGAACGCUGGAAACGUGUUUGAAGGAAGUGCAUGCAGUAGUAUAACACCAGUCAGACCCAUGUCAUGCUCAAAACCACCUCAGCUACAUGAAGUCGUCAAACCUUUAGCAUGGCUACUGGGAAAAUGGCGAUCAGAGCACGGCCGAGGGAUGUACCCAACAAUGAAGAACUUCACUUAUGGAGAAGAGGUGGAGUUCUCACAUAUAGG
This is a long non-coding RNA of Lingula anatina, 269 nucleotides long. Lineage: Eukaryota; Metazoa; Brachiopoda; Lingulata; Lingulida; Lingulidae. The record is from RefSeq and is a predicted model, not a curated record.